CCCCAGGGCCCGAGUUGUAAUUUGCAGAGGAUGCUUUUGGUGAGGCACCUACCGAGUCCCCUGGAAUGGGGCGCCACAGAGGGUGAGAGCCCCGUAUGGUAGGACGCCGAACCUCUGUAAAGCUCCUUCGACGAGUCGAGUAGUUUGGGAAUGCUGCUCUAAAUGGGAGGUAAAUUUCUUCUAAAGCUAAAUACCGGCCAGAGACCGAUAGCGCACAAGUAGAGUGAUCGAAAGAUGAAAAGCACUUUGAAAAGAGGGUUAAAAAGUACGUGAAAUUGUUGAAAGGGAAGCGCUUGUGACCAGACUUGCGCCUGGCGGAUCAUCCAGCGUUCUCGCUGGUGCACUCCGCCAGGCUCAGGCCAGCAUCGGUUCUCGCCGGGGGACAAAGGCUUCGGGAACGUGGCUCCUUUCGGGGAGUGUUAUAGCCCGUUGCGUAAUACCCCGGCGGGGACCGACGACCGCGCUUCGGCAAGGAUGCUGGCGUAAUGGUCAUCAGCGACCCGUCUUGAAACACGGACCGAGGAGUCAAGCAUUAGUGCGAGUGUUUGGGUGUAAAACCCGCACGCGUAAUGAAAGUGAACGUAGGUGAGAGCUUCGGCGCAUCAUCGACCGAUCCUGAUGUUUUCGGAAGGAUUUUGAGUAGGAGCAUUAACGCUUGGACCCGAAAAGAUGGUGAACUAUACUUGAAUAGGGUGAAGCCAGAGGAAACUCUGGUGGAGGCUCGCAGCGGUUCUGACGUGCAAAUCGAUCGUCAAAUUUGAGUAUAGGGGCGGAGAGACUAAUCGACCAUCUAGUAGCUGGUUUCAGCCGAAGUUUCCCUCAGGGAAAGAGAAAAACUUUCGGUUGAGAAACAGCUACCUAGAUGGGUUCGGAUUAUUUUUUCCUCCCCUUCCCCUCCCAUCCUGGAAGAAUACGAUUGGGAAAUUUGAA
RNAcentral lists this ribosomal RNA (930 nucleotides) under Pyricularia grisea. RNAcentral describes it as "LSU rRNA". It matches the Rfam family "Eukaryotic large subunit ribosomal RNA", at positions 129 to 1106 of the family's 3401-position model. The record is from RNAcentral. Lineage: Eukaryota; Fungi; Ascomycota; Sordariomycetes; Magnaporthales; Pyriculariaceae.